CGUAAUAAUAGAAACUAACCAGGAUUCCCUUAGUAACGGCGAGUGAACUGGGAUACCCAAUAUAUACCAUCUGUGCGUACCUCGGUGCGUACAAAUUUUAGCCCGUCGAUACUAUCCUAGCAUAGUACUGGCUUCGGCCGGUAACCUAUCUAUGCGGGAAUUGUAGCAUCGUACAAAAAUAUAUUAUACAACGUAUAUACGCAACCCACACUUAUAUAUAUAUUUUUAUGCGUACACUUACUUUCAUAAACACACAGCGCUCCCGCGUUGGAAAGCAAGUCUAUAUCCUUUUUGGAUAUGCCAUAGAGUGUGACGGCCACGUUUCAACUCUCUACGUAUACGCAUGCGUUAUAUACAUACACUGUAUUUUAUAUAUAACCUGAGUCGAGUUAUUU
Molecule: ribosomal RNA, 395 nt
Filed under: Ammonia sp. 646
Lineage: Eukaryota; Foraminifera; Rotaliida; Rotaliidae
Description: partial 28S ribosomal RNA
Source: RNAcentral